RNAcentral lists this ribosomal RNA (433 nucleotides) under uncultured bacterium. RNAcentral describes it as "partial 16S ribosomal RNA". It matches the Rfam family "Bacterial small subunit ribosomal RNA", at positions 29 to 507 of the family's 1533-position model. The record is from RNAcentral.
AGCGAACGCUGGCGGCAGGCCUAACACAUGCAAGUCGAACGAACUCUUCGGAGUUAGUGGCGGACGGGUGAGUAACACGUGGGAACGUGCCUUUUGGUUCGGAAUAACUCAGGGAAACUUGUGCUAAUACCGAAUGUGCCCUUCGGGGGAAAGAUUUAUCGCCAUUAGAGCGGCCCGCGUCUGAUUAGCUAGUUGGUGAGGUAACGGCUCACCAAGGCGACGAUCAGUAGCUGGUCUGAGAGGAUGACCAGCCACACUGGGACUGAGACACGGCCCAGACUCCUGCGCGCGGCAGCAGUGGGGAAUCUUGCGAAAUGGGCGAAAGCCUGACGCAGCCAUGCCGCGUGAAUCAUGAAGGUCUUAGGAUUGUAAGAUUCUUUCACCGGGGACGAUAAUGACGGUACCCGGAGAAGAAGCCCCGGCUAACUUCGUG